GGGACAUUAGUGAUAAUGGCAGCACCUCUCAUUUGCAAUGAGAAGGCGACGGAUCGUAACCGUCAUGUUCCA
This 72-nucleotide transfer RNA is filed under the name Candidatus Woesebacteria bacterium. RNAcentral's name for it is "tRNA-Ala". It matches the Rfam family "tRNA". From Rfam's summary of the family: Transfer RNA (tRNA) molecules are approximately 80 nucleotides in length. Their secondary structure includes four short double-helical elements and three loops (D, anti-codon, and T loops). Lineage: Bacteria; Candidatus Woeseibacteriota. The record is from RNAcentral.